GCGGGAGUCCCAUAGCCCGGUCAAUUGGACACGGUUGAGGGCCGUGUGACUUAGUGUCUUCGAGAGUUCGAAUCUCUCCUCCCGCA
This 86-nucleotide transfer RNA is filed under the name Candidatus Diapherotrites archaeon CG10_big_fil_rev_8_21_14_0_10_31_34. Its description in RNAcentral is "tRNA-Leu". It matches the Rfam family "tRNA". Rfam says of the family: Transfer RNA (tRNA) molecules are approximately 80 nucleotides in length. Their secondary structure includes four short double-helical elements and three loops (D, anti-codon, and T loops). Further hydrogen bonds mediate the characteristic L-shaped molecular structure. tRNAs have two regions of fundamental functional importance: the anti-codon, which is responsible for specific mRNA codon recognition, and the 3' end, to which the tRNAs corresponding amino acid is attached (by aminoacyl-tRNA synthetases). tRNAs cope with the degeneracy of the genetic code in two manners: having more than one tRNA (with a specific anti-codon) for a particular amino acid; and 'wobble' base-pairing, i.e. permitting non-standard base-pairing at the 3rd anti-codon position. Lineage: Archaea; Nanobdellati; Candidatus Iainarchaeota. The record is from RNAcentral.